AGCUGUUGAGCAGGACUGUGACAAAGAGCAACAAAGAGCCACAAAGAGCAGGCUGCGGGCGGGACCAUCGGGACCAUCACAGAGGCAUCAGCCCUGCCCCGGAGUGGCUGCAGAUGCAUCCCUGAGGGAGGGGGCUGGGGUGCAGGUGCUCCCUCCCGAACAGGGGGUUUGUUAGCUUCAUCUGCAAGGCCCUGAAGCCAGGCUCUUUUCAAAUCGUCAUCAUGUGUGCACCGUACACUCCCUUCUGACUCUGGGGGCCUGGGCGCCUGCUUAGUGCAGCCUUAAAUUUUUUACGUACCAGUAAAAAUACUGCAUGUAAGAUUCUGUUCCUAGGAGGAUAAAGGGAUGGCCAGAGCUGGCUAAGCGGAGUCUCGACGGACUAAAGGUAUGGGAAAAUGAAGACGUGGACCUACCACGUUCUCUUCUACCUGGAACUUAGGAUUUGUAAAUUGCAUUUAGAUGUCAUUUGUCACAUUGGUAGGCUGUGACUUAAUACACUCACAAAGAGGAUUUUUCCAAGUAUUUAAACUGUGUAGAUGCUGCAAAAAAUCAGACUGAGGCAAAGCCCUGCAGCCAACCCCAGCAGCAAGAGGUGAGGACCCCCUGUCUGUCCUGGGCCCCACUCAGGCACUAUCCUCAUCUCUUAGAAUAGUUUGUUACCUUUUCUUUCCUGAAGCCUCAUCAAAUGCAACUUUUUCUAUGGCAUUCAACGGACUUUAAAGCAAAGAUUACAGAGAAAUUCUUAUGCAAGUCAGAAAAUCUGCUUAUUAUGGGUUUGAUAAACCAAAUUGUGUUACCUGUUUAUAGACAUAGAUUUCUAUCAGCCAGACGUGUGCACAGCACAGCACAAACCAUAGCCACCCCCGUCGAAGUCUCUUUCUGUGCAUUUCCCAGCCACGCCCCCAGCUUGGGCCCCUGGGGUCACCUCCCACUCCGGCUAGAAAGAGAGAAGGAGACAGUGAAUUCCUCGGAAGCCGCUCGCCCUGCACCCAAGCGGGACUUGCACCACAAGCAGCCCCAGGAAAAAACUCUCCAUUUCUUUCUCGUGGAGGCUCCAGAAGAAAAGCUGCGCAUUUACCCGGCGCAUUCUAACCGCCUUUGAGGUUCCCUCCGGCAGCCAUGGGAGCCGUGGUGGGGCAAAGCCUGGGCUGGGAGACGCUGCAAGGCUCUGGGGAGCAGUGAGGCGCCGCGCCAGCUCCUCCGUUCCCGUCAUAGCCUCACACGGGCUUCGCUGGACACGUCCAGGACGCAGCGCCGGUGGGCACCAGGCGUUGAGCGCCUGCCCCGCGUCUGUGCUAAGACCUCCCUUUGCAUUAUUGCAUUUAUUCCAACGAUGGGGUGAGGACCCUGAAAUUGUCUGGGAUCCACACCAGUCGGAAGAAAAAAAGAAUAGAAAACGCAGGGAUUCACCUCCUCUGCAGGCACCCUCAUGCCGAACACUAAACAGGAUGAUGUUGAAAAGGAUUUGGAGAUUUAUGCAGGUCACGAGCUUGAGGAAUUUUUCCAUUGAAUGCACCAUGCCUUGGGUUUCCCGUUUCCCACUGAAAAUCCCAUGGCUGACACUUUUUUUAUAUCAUUACCUUGGGAGAUGAAGAAAAACUCAUCUGUUAGGGCAGCUCUGUGAAUGCAGAUGCUUUGGGUUGUUUUGAAUGAAUGACUGAAUGUUCUGAAAUAAAGCAGGAAGGUGCCUGCGGGA
This 1696-nucleotide long non-coding RNA is filed under the name Homo sapiens (human). Its description in RNAcentral is "HSALNT0338541". Lineage: Eukaryota; Metazoa; Chordata; Mammalia; Primates; Hominidae. The record is from RNAcentral.